Hemicordylus capensis (graceful crag lizard) is the source of this 565-nucleotide long non-coding RNA. RefSeq lists it as uncharacterized. The record is from RefSeq and is a predicted model, not a curated record. NCBI's taxonomy places the organism in Eukaryota, Metazoa, Chordata, Lepidosauria, Squamata, Cordylidae. The transcript has 4 exons.
AGGCCCCAAGAAAGGCAGGAAGGAGGCUGGCCGAGCUCCCUGCAGCAGACCAGACCAUCCAGCACAGCCUUUGCAAGCUUUCUUUCAUGCAAAGGAGGAAGCCCAUGCAGCUAGUUCUUCCCCCACUUGCAGACUUCCAGACUGCAGAUCGGGAUCGUCUAGAAGCACGGUGGGGAAAAUGGAGGCAACUAUUAAACACUGAGCAAACAGACUGAGGAUGCAAAAUGCAAAACAGCAGCAACAUAUGAAGAAGCUCUUUGGGGAUAUUUCUGGCCUUAUAAACUUAACUAAAUCAGCAACCCUGCGGGGGCCCAAUCUGGAUUGGGACCAUGGCAUGGGAGAAGAGGGCUUUAACCCUUUCCCUCUCCAAUCUGGACUGCCCCCACCAUGCCCAUCAUUUCUCCUGGGCAAGACGCUUCCACUGGCACCAAGUCUGAAGUGGCAAGGAGCAGACUACACCGCAGAACUAAAAGUCAACAUCUUUAACGUAUCGGAUCCCUUUCCGUCAGAGAGGCACAAAAUAUAAGAAACCAAUAAAGGAAUAAUCCUGUUGCUAUAAAAUUGA